AUCGCCUCUCAGCCUUUGGCUAAGAUCAAGUGUAGUGUUCUUAUCACUUUAAUAUCUGCUAUCUGAGGACAGUAUAUUAAAUGGAUUUUUGGAGCAGGGAAAUGGAAUAGGACCUUGCUCUUUCCACUCCAUGCAUCCACCUGGUAUUGCAGUACCUCCAGGAAUAGUGCACCCCCU
Small nuclear RNA from Gorilla gorilla gorilla (western lowland gorilla), 177 nucleotides. Its record names the gene U2. It matches the Rfam family "U2 spliceosomal RNA". From Rfam's summary of the family: U2 is a small nuclear RNA (snRNA) component of the spliceosome (involved in pre-mRNA splicing). Complementary binding between U2 snRNA (in an area lying towards the 5' end but 3' to hairpin I) and the branchpoint sequence (BPS) of the intron results the bulging out of an unpaired adenosine, on the BPS, which initiates a nucleophilic attack at the intronic 5' splice site, thus starting the first of two transesterification reactions that mediate splicing. NCBI's taxonomy places the organism in Eukaryota, Metazoa, Chordata, Mammalia, Primates, Hominidae. The record is from Ensembl.